CCAAACGUACCGUUUUUUCGACCUUUUUGGAUUGUCCCGUCUUUUUAUCAAUUUGUACCGUAUUUUGAGCAUAGAGAAGAAAUACAGUAGGACCCCGAUUAUCCGCGGAAUAGUCGGGCUAGCUCACCGCGAAUAACGAAAAUCGCGGAUAACACAAUAAAAAACUAAAAUGAGUUCCAAACACGAAAAAGGAUAUUUAAGCAUCAAAACUAUGUUUUAUCAAUACAGAAAUCAUUAAACUAUCCUUCUACAAGGUAAUGUACACUGUAAACGCAAGCGUUUCAAGCGCCACCGUGCCCUAGAAAGUUACAUAUGGGAACAUUGUUAUGGAUCGUAGUGUAGUUACAGAUGGGAACACUGUUAUGGAGCGUAGUGUAUUAACAGAGGGAACGGAAAUGUCAAAGGAAGAAUAGAUAGUCAUUCGUAAAAAUAUUUUUGAUUGUUGAAGUUGGUGUGUGAAUGGUAAUCGAGCAACUAGAGGACAUUUCACAUUAAUUUCGAGGAAAUCAAAUUAGCUGAGUUGAGAGAAUCAGGGGUUAUAGGUUAUAGGCCGUUACUGAAUUUCUUUAAAGCUUCGUUCGAGGUGUCAAUAAAUUUAGAAGAGUCAUUUGCAGAUUAAUUUCGAGGAAAUCAAAUUAGCUGAGUUGAAAGAAUCAGGGGUUAUAGGUUAUAGGCCGUUACUGAAUUUCUUUAAAGCUUCGUUCGAGGUGUCAAUAAAUUUAGAACAGCUAAAUGAACAGUGUCUUGGAUGAUUUUAAUCCCUGAUUUCCACUAGCAACAGUACACCAAUGACCAGAUAAUGUGAAAGCCAUGGUCAAAACCAAAGUGCAUGAGCCUAUCACUCACUGACAAAUUCCGGGAAGGCCUAUAGGUUUACUAUGGUUCGCGCUAUCGCGGAUAAUUGGGGUUCCACUGUAUGUAUAAUAAUGUCCUGUUGUACUACUAUUUAUUUGACAACUCAUGCCUUAAAUUGUUUCUCACCAGAGAUUAGUUAGCGAUCCUUCGAACAUUUAUUCGCCUUGUUGAAGGAGACGAUGUAUCUGCCUCUAAUGUUGCUGUUAGUUCCUCAUCAUAAAAGAGAUGAAGUAUUUUUAACCACUGAAGUCCAAAAAAAUAUAGAGGGUUGUGUCCAAGAAAAGAUCACAUUGUUGAUGCGGGAUUACGGAUUACGCUUGUUUACCAUUUCAGCUGCAGAGGGGGUAGAAAGACCGGUACCUUACUGUCUUGUGAUUUCCUUUUUAGUCACUGCAAUAGUUUAGUCGAUUGAACAUUAGGGAUUCGUCAGACCCGCCUUUUUAUCAAAACUAUCAGUGAUUGAGAAACAAAGAAACAUUAUGACAUUUCUCACUCAGAACCGGUCCCGGAUUUGUAAAGCAAUUAGAGCGAGUUCAAACUAUGUUAUUGAUACAAAAAGCGCAAUUCUGGCGGCACAAUUGAAAUGUAUAGGAGUUGGAGAUCACCUGAAAAUGUGUAACGAGUAAGAGUUUCAAUUGAGCAGUCAUUGAGACGGUCUGACAGUCUUUCUGUAUUUGGUGGCUGCCAAUCCAAAGAAACCCAAUGCAUUAUGUUUACACUCUCCAAAGGUUACAGUAUAAAGAUUUGGAACUGUUUGAGCAUCUGAGACCGAUUCAGCGGAACGAUUUUGCUUUUGAAGUUUGUAUCGAGCAAACCCGUUGUGGGUGACAUCAAUGUUAGGUGAGACUGCUAACUGAUCGCUAGUUGGAGCCAGACUAAGUAUUAGAAAUCGUAAACGGCUUUUUUAAAUCUAAUAAGUUAAAAACGGAUGGAUGCAAUCAUUCUUCUCUCCACAGUGUCCGUAUUAAAGAAAGUUGCAUUUACAUUUCUAGCGAGCGAUUUACGAACGCCUAAUUAUACCUCACGGCUAUCCCCAUUCCUCGGAAUAGAAUAUUCCAAUUUUUAAUAAUUCAAACCAUUUAAGGAUUAGAGAAUCGUAAUGUAUAAAUUAUCAAAAAACUCUCCGGGAAUUUCCAAUUUAUUUCGCGACAAAAAUAGUUAUCAACUUUAAAACUAUUUCAUGAACUCGUGACAAGUUUUCUGAUUUGGUAAGAUUUUCUGAUUUAGAAGGAGGUAGCCCUGCGUCAAAAAUAGUUGAUUUAGGUGAAAUACAGGAGGCAACAUGUCUUAAAAUUAUGAACAAUUUUUACGAUACUGCGUUAGAGAACAUUGAAAAAUGGAAGGCUACCCAGCAAACAUUAAAUCGCAUAACAAGCGUAUAUAUAACAUCAUAUGCCCUAAAAUUUGGUUGGCAUAUAAUGUCGAGAUGGAAAAUGAAAGGUGGGAAGAUUUUUUAAAUCUGUGACGUCACAGAUUUAGUUUAUGUAUGUUACUUUUCUUAUGAUAGUCCACUACAUAGGAAAAGUGUUGUAUUUAAAAGUAAAAAUAAGCAAAUGAAAUGAACGAACUACAUUUUUUUUCCUAAAUCAAUGCUAGCGUUCAAAAUCAUAAGGGCCCGACAUUUUAACAGAAACUGAAAUUUCAGUACUUUUGAAGUGUUCUAAACUUAAUUUCAAUUCAAUUUUACUUCUCGUUACGUCGACCAAAAACGUAAACGAACAAAGUCAGAGUCACGCAAUCUUUUGUUCCUUUGCCGGAAAAACAUUUGACAGUGCAUGGGAUAAAAGGUUGCAAGUUUUUUUUUCAUGUAAAAUGAACAUGAAAAAUAAAUUUAAUUGACUCCGUAUGACUUAGAUUGAGACGAAAAGUUUUCCGCUGGCGUCUUAGUUUUAGACGACUGAAGUUUUCAGCACCCUAAUUGUGAAAAAAGUAAUUACAAUUGCUGAUAAAAGUCAAACUUCCAUGAAGUUGCUCUAGAAUCCAAACAUAGAAUACUAUUUCGGAUAUCAAAGUAAAAAUUAAACAUUUUAGUUCGUGAUGUUGUUUAUUUUCAUGGUGCAAAAAUAUGAUUUGGAAAUCUGUAAUUAGUUUCUGUAUAUCCUCUUUCAACGUUAUUCGUUGACACAUUCAAUUUUGUACCAUUUGAGUAACUGACUGGUAUGCCUGGUAUGUGAACUUCAUAUCUUCCUGGCUACUAACACAAUCAAAGUUCAACACAACCAAAACUCGUGAAUCUUCCCACCUUCUAUUCUUCAUCUCGAUAUAAUGUGCCUAACUGGCAUAUGCAUGCAAAAGUGGAGGCCAUAUACAUACAUGGCAAAUGCUUACCAAAUUUGUUUGGAUGAAUAUGCAACUUUGACCGGCUAUAAAAGCGAUUAUGUUGAAUUGAAUUGCGAUCUAAUAUGAAUAUAUUCAUGAAUUGUCAAAGCACCAAAUACGACUUUUGCCAUACUCAUAUACGAUUUAUUACAAACAUAGAAAAAAACAAAUAGCGCAAAAUAUUUCUGUUGGGGAGCCUGUCCGUAAAACUUCGAUAACUCUAUUACAGGCCCCCAACAUCGAAGGGAAAUCCAUUCCCGAACCACAAACAUCCUCUUACCGUCGACGAAUAACAAAAACCACCAAUUGCCUCGAACACAAUGCCGACUGUAAGCAACACACGAACGACCAGCUAAACCAAAUGUUUCUUUUCCGAUUGCUCAUAAACAAACACUAAACUAUGCUGACACAAAUUACGUUUUAUAAUUAACAACAUUUAAAAAUACAUAUAUUAACAAGAAAUCGAUUUCACAAUAUUCCAAAAACAAUUCACACAAGUAAUGUUUAUCCUGUUGUGGACCGAACUGGACUGAUUCUGCUCCACAGAAUUCCAAUUUACUGCUUGCGAUCGCUGCUUGUAUGUGUUCCAUCCUAUGCGAUGUUAUGCUUUGCUAUCGGUCUUCAGCAGAACGAUGGAAAUAUUCACCACUGUGAUCUUCUGGUUAUUGUUCAGCAUCACAGCGGUGAGCGAAAGCCCAAUAGGAGCGAGCGGUAAAUGGUUUGUUUUCGCUCCCUUCCACUCUAGCACAUGAGGAGAACGAAUCAAUAUUACCGCUAUUUGUUGGUGCUCAUCAGCUGUUGUUUCCCGUUCUACUGUCUGGUCUAUUUUUUGGAAUCCAGACAGUCGAUUGUUUAGGGAAUUCCCGGAUCAGGGCUGUAACAAGGGUGCUACUCCCAAACAAUUUCCGUGAAAUGUUUAUUAUAGCCUCACGAAUCGCCAUUUUUAUAUAUAUGUAUAUUGGUGUUCGUAGAAAUAAUAAUUGUUUGAUUGACAUGUGUUGGGCGUGGAAUAUGAAUGUUUAAAAUUGCACAGAUUGAUGUUUGAUGAAAACUGCUCCGAUGUUGGUUCGAACUCCGGUCAUCUGGAUUAUCAUCCACCAGCUAUCUCGCGCGACUAUCUGAAAUUUAAUUCAACAGCGGUUAAAACUUUCGAGUGCAUCAGCAUUUGAUGCGCAUAUGAUGCGGAUUAAAUAUAUUUUACGACAAUAUACAUCAUAAAAUUGAUGUUUCUUAUACCGAAUUGCGACUUAAUUUGAUGAUGGCAUAUAAAAUCGAGUUUUUACAUUUUAUGCAAUCUCAAAUAUACACGAUACAUACUUUGUUUGAUAUUAUAUGCGAUUCUGAUUUAUUCGGAUUUCUUGUAAUACUUGGCACGUGCAAAAUUAUACGAUUUAAUGUUUGCUGGGUAUUCUUUUGUUUUUGAGAGGCUUUAAACUUUUCAGUUCAUUCGCCUUUAAACGCAAUGUCAAUGUUGUUUGAAGAGAGAAAUUUUAAAAAACAUUCACCUCGACUGUUUAUAUCAGUACUACUCCACAAAGUGUGAUAGGCAUUGGCAUAUUAUGUCGGAUCUUCCCUUGGCGGUUGGUAUCUCAACUCUGAACCGAUUCAGAUGAUCGACAUAUCAAAAUAAAGCCGGUUAGCUGGCUUUUGAAAUUACACUAGCAGAAAAAUUUACUUGAUUUCCCAUGUACUGGUAUUAAAAACGCCUGCAUCAGCGCAAGACGGAAAAAAAUUAUUUGGCAACCAAUUUCCCCGUUUUUUUACACCGCUACCCUAUCUGCCCCAGCAACUAUCCGGAAGUCAACAUACGGGAUUGUUUUUGAUAGUAUUUUUAGUUGUUUGAUAGGCAGCUGCAAACACACUAAUGCUUUUGUUACGUUGCGUAUAAAACGAGUAUUUUAUUCAAAAUGGAAGUCAAUCAAAUAACGAUGCCUAAUGUUGAGGAUUUUUACAUUAAUUUUCACUGUAUUGAUUAGAAACAAUUGUUAAUUUGUUACAUCUAUAUUUCAUUAUUUUACAACGAUAUGUUACAUUUUUAUUAUGUUCAAUUCCGCUUAUUCCUAAAUUUUUUUUUAUAUGUAUUAUGUACCGGGAAGCUUCAGUAAUCGAUUGUAAAUAAUACUAUUCAUUUGCUUUUUGAUUGUCAGCAAUUAUUAUUCUUAUAAACAUAAUUCAAUUGUAUUGAAUGUGGACGUUUGCGUAUAUUUAACAAUUAACUCAAAUUAAAACAUGAUUGAAAUAUCGAAUGAAAUCUUUAGUUUUGUCUUCGUUAUUAUUUUUAAUAUGUUCUCGGAGUAUCUAAUUGAAUUUCACGAUUUUCUCUAAAAUUGCCAAAUAUUUACAACACACCUAAGCCCUCUUGGUACUCCUUUCUAUGUCAAAUAUGGGCAUGAUUUGUUAGCUACCGAACAAACAUUUUCAAUAAGAGAACUUAUUGACUCUGAAAUAUUUCAGAGAUAUUAAUGUAAUCUCGAAUAUAACUUUUUUUUGCAUCCAAUGAACGAACAGAAAUAGUGUGCUUGAGAAGAACAGUGGUGUAAAAGGUAGUACUGCUACUGUUUUGUCCUACUGAUUUACAUGUUACUUGAUGGCCCUCGUGGACGGUGACCAUGCAGUCCGGAAUGUCUCGAUCCCGGGCGACUGUGCACUAUCGCAUAAUGGUCAGAAUCUAUCGGUAAUGAUCGAUUCGAAUGAAUUGUACUUCCUCCGCUGGUGUAACCCUUAUUGUGACCACCAUCACGACCGUGCAGUGAAUAUCGUGAACCAUACUGGGAACCAUGCCAGCUUCUAUAUGGGUCGUACUCUUCUAUUAUUGAUGGCUCUUUUUCGAUUAUCUACACCAAAUGUAAUGAAUGUAAGAGGUCUUCGAUGCUAGAAAAAUGUUGAUUUAAAUUUACCUCAGUUCUCGCACAACUACAGCUCAUAGCAGUACAAAGGAAGAUGUUCAUUAACAACAUUAUUAGGAACAAUACUGCCAGAGCGAUCGUUAGCCAAAGUAGCCAAUGUGGUCGAACACUGUUGUCUUCACAAAGAGGUCCAAGAGCUGUGAAAAAAGGUUAAACAGUUGUUUCUCACAUGUUAUCAAAAUACUAACCCUUGGCAUCAAUUGGAUCCAGUAUAAAAAUUGUAGAAGCAGCCAACAGUAUUCCUUCUUCGGCUUGCCCCAACGUUCGUCCGGAAUUUGUGGCAACGGAUGCAUCCUCUAAACAUGCGCUAUCCUCAAUAACAGGACAGAGACCAUUACACUGAACGACGUCACAUUGGAUGUGUACCUCGGAUCCUGGAAUAUAGAAACAUUAGUAUUUGUGUAUGAACAUCCAAUAUUAUUUUCAGUUUCUAUUACCUUCUGGGAAUCGAAACAUCGUAUUCAACAUGGCAACGGCUGUCGUUCCGUUUGAAGCAGUUUUGAACCUUGUCAUAAUUGUUGUUCCACUGUUGAUAACUGAACAUCUUGAAAAAAAAUGACAAACCAGGUUAUGUUUUUAGUUUCAAUUUGUUUGUACUUGUUAUACCCUCGCUCAUCGAUUAAUGCAAUACUGCUAUUUUUCUUAUUGAAAGCAAAGCAGUUUUUCACCCUGAUUCCCUGCGUUCCGUUCGGAUGGGUUACUUCCGCCUUCACUGUAUAUUUGCGUCCAUACACAGUUUCCUGAAUUCGGCGAUCAUUCUCGAAGAAUUUUAGAGCCACUGGUGAGUUAUCAUCCCUGUAAUGAGGUUAUUAAGAGUAAAUAUAUAUUUUAUAUAUCGACUACGAGAGUUUAAAGGUAGCAAAAUUACCUAGCGAAGCCGGUUUUCCCACAUGUGAUAACAUAGAAUUUGUCGUCAGCAAGUUCCAAUGUCUUGUGAACACGAACAGCUAGCUGUACGGAACGUUCUUCAGAUCGCUAUAAAAGGAAUAUCGAAAAAAAAAUUUGAGUUUCUUUAUACUUCAGAUUUAUUCAUAAGGAAACUUUCAAUACACUUGUAAUAAUAAAUAAAUAUUCAACAAAAAAGGAUUCAGGUUUAGUGAUAUCUUUGACAUGAAGAUUCGUUAAGGACAUUCGUAUUCUCGAACUUGCUACGAUGAUCUAUGAAUGUUAGUGCCAUCUAGGAGGAGAAAGAUGCCUUAGUAGAAUGCCAACUAAACGCUAUUCCUUUAUCAGAAGCAUGAAAGAGUUCAUUGGAAGAUUCAACUUCAGAACCGCAAUGACGGCCAAUGCUCAAAAUUUAGAUAAAAAUUUUUAUUCCCAAUCAAAACGAUGCAUUGUCAGGAACAGAAAACACGUUUUUAAUGUUUUGGUCAUCACGAAAUACAGUUACUCAAAUCCGUAAUCGUACUCCACCAUGCAGAUCUCUUUUCCUUUCUUUUGAAAGUCAAAAACAAGCUUUCGGAACAUUCUAUUUAGAUACAAUUAUAGUGUCAUAUGAGAGUUAAAAGAGUUGCUAUAUGUUUUCAGAAUAAUGGUUUUUAUUUCUCUAAAAAUGGCGAAUGUAUGCGCUAAUGUAAGAAAAUUGACUCAAACUCAUAAUCGUACGCUGGUUGGAAUCUCUACUCGAUUUCGAAGGCGUUGGCCAAUUUCCGAAUUCCAUCAUUAGUAUGGUAUCCCUUGUUCAUUGCAACUAUCUUUAGUUGUCUUUAGUCUUAUCUACGAGCUAUUGGUGUAUCCAGCAAGUAUAUUUAUUAUUUUUUUUCAUUAUCGUUAUUUUUAGAAAUUUAAUGGUUUCUAAAUUUCCUACAUAGAUAACUUCCUUAGUUUUUUACUGGGAUUGAUGUCGGAAGAUUGUGGGGGAAUAUCAAUAACUUUUGAGUAAUUGUAAUGUAACCAUGUGCGAACUUCAUAUGACUUGAGCUCUGGGUUAUUGUCUUGGCAAAACUUGAAUCCUCGAUUCCAUCUCAUUUUGUUCACACUUUGCUACAUACUACACCUUUAGGAUGUUCAAGUAAACAUUCUGAUCCAUUACACCAUCGAUAAAAACCAUUUUCAUCGAUGGUGUAUUGGGUCAGAAUGUUUACUCGAUCAUCCUGAAGGAAAAUAUAAUAUGAAGCAAAGUAUCAACAAAAUGGGUUCGAAUUGAGGAUUCAAAUUUUGCCAAGACAAUGACCCAGAGCAGGGGGUCUUCGUAGCCACUUGGUUUCGCGUUCGCUUAAUAAGCGAUCGAUCGUGAGUUCAAACUCAGGGCCCUCAAUUGACCAUCUUUGUGUUGUUAUAGGAUAACUACGUCCACGCAACCAUCAUAUCAGCUAUGGAGAUCGAUCCACGGUGGAACAAAGAUCGAUUCAUCCAUACAACUGCUCUGCUCUGCAAGAAACAUCGGGCUGCUGUUCUAUAAAUAACCCAACAAUGAUCGAUUUCAACUGUCUCCGCUGUCCAAUGGAAGAACAGAUAGAAUACCCUUACGCCUAAAUGGCUACUACAGUGUAAUUCACCAUAAUGUAAUGGAACAGAAAACCUAACGCCUAAAUGGCUACUCUACUACUGUGUAAUUUACAAUUUAUAGAAACAUAAUUAUAUGCACAUGUACAAGAUAAAAACGCGGCUCUGUUACAGAUAAAAUGCUAAUGAGCCUGAUAAAUAAAUAAAUGGGAUAAAAAAAAAUGACCCAGAGCUCAAGACAUAUGAAGUUCGCACAUGGUUACAUUUCAAUUACUCAAAAGUUAUUGAUAUUCCUCCACAAUCUUCCGACAUCAAUUCCAGUAAAAAACUAAGGAAGUUAUCUGUGUAGGAAAUUUUGAAACCAUUAAAUUUCUAAAAAUAACGAUUUUAAAAACCACAUAAUGAAAAAAUUGAUAAAUAUACCUUCUGAAUACACCAAAAAACUCGUAGAUAAGGCUAAAGACAACUAAAGAUAGUUGCAAUGAACACGGGAUACCAUACUUAUGAUGGAAUUCGGAAAUUGGCCAACACCUUCGAAAUCGAGUAGAGAUUUCAACCAGCGUACGAUUAUGAGUUUGAGUCAAUUUUCUUACAUUAGCACAUACAUUCGCCACUUUUAGAGAAAUAAAAACCAUUAUUCUGAAAACAGAUUGCAACCCUUUUAACUCUCAUAUGACACUAUGAUUUUAUCUAAAUAGAAUUUUCCGAAAGCUUGUUUUCGACUAUCAAAAGAAGGGAAAAGAGAUCUGCAUGGUGGAGUACGAUUACGGAUUUGAGUCACUGUAUGUAAAUUGUUUUGGACGACUGAAUGCUGUAUUUAAAUUUUUACGUCAUACUGCAUCCAUGUGUAGUGAAUUUAACUUAUCAUUUUUACGGAUCGUCAAUGCCAUGCGUAUAUUACAACCACCUGCAUUCAUUCGAGAAUAAAAAAAAACUCGUUUCUAGGGUAUCAUUUCAUGCUCUCUAUUGAACAAAUAGUGACAUCUAUGCGGCAGCAGACUGUGUGGAACAAUGCAUGGACGAGCAGAAAAACUCUUAUUGAAAAAACCCACUCUAUUUAUUAUUACGCAAACAUUUUUGCACCAUAAAUCAAUUCUAUCUUAACACUUUCCGGGCCGCUCUCGGGUUUGUGUGAAGUUAGCAUGUGAAAGUUUUUGUUGCGUGCAAGUUUCUGUUCAACGUCCUGCUGGAUUUCAUGAACAAUGAAUUAUUUCAGUUUAAAUAAAUUAAUUGUUUAUCAAGUAACAUCUUUCACAAUCAUGUUCAUUAGAUAGAGAAUUGAAUCAUUAAUCUUUCCACAUAAUUCAUUUUUUUUCUUGAUCGUGACAAAGAAAUGUUACAGACUGAAACGUGAGCAUGGGUCAAUAUAGGAAAAUAUACAGAAUUUUGAAAAUAAAAAAGUAGCAAAAUAGAGAUAUCGAAAUUACUCGAUAGAGAAAUAUUUUACCUAUCUUCCAGCCACAAUUUUAUCAAUCGGAAAAGGAAAAGGGUCUUAGAAAAUGUAUAGGCCAAGUUGUAUGGGAGAAAUGAACUAUUUUGAAAAAAAUAGAGAUUUUGCAAUUUUUGAACCUGACGUCGGAUUUUAGACAUGGAUGUUAAAAUAAUUUUUUUCUCUGUUGGCUUCCAUCAGUCACUUUUUUAAAAUGUGAAUGCGUCGUAACAAAACUUUCAUUAUCGAAUUUUCCAAACAAUCUGCUGUCAAAACAUUCCAGAACCGAUCAUAGAAAGCGCUGUAGUCAAAUGAGCAGUGCGUCUAGAUUCUAUCUGAACCAUUCAUAGAUUUUGUAAUAAUACAAUUAUUUAUCAUAAAAACAACUAUCACAUUAGAAUGGGGGAAAUCAAAGAAAAGGUAUCAAGGUUUCUUUGUAUGAGUUUGAAACCACCGAUACUAUUAGUUUGAUCUUUUCAAAAUUUCAAGAUUUUUUGGUGGUUGAAUUUUUGAUUAGAAUUUUUUUUUAUAAUUUGUUUAUAGUGACUUUCAUCACUUUUGGCUGGUUCGUCACUUUACUUCCAUUUUUGGAAGAAUCUCAGGAGUGAGAAUUGAACACCUGACCUAUAGCGUGAGAGGUAUGGAUGUUACCACUACGCCAGAUCGCUUCCCUGAGUAUGCUAAAUUGGAUAGUUCUUCAAAUAGAUCAGAUGUUGAUAUGUUUAGUCUUAUGAAUUUGAAGUGUUUGUAACACAAUCAUCGAUUUCAUGAAAAUUAAAAAAAUCCAGACGGUGAAAAUUAGGGAAAAAUAGUACGUUUAAUCCUCGAAACAUUAUAAAAAAAUCAUAAAUAUAAAAAAAAACACGUACGAACACAUUUCAAAGCAGUACUGUGUCUCAAAAUUUCAUUUGAAAAUUACGAAAUUUCAAAUUACCAUAAAAUUGUACCUCACAACCUCAUCUCUAAAAUUCUGAAAAAAUCUCACAUCAAAACCACAUACAUUUAAAUGAAAAUUAUGUUUUAAUGAAUUUAAAAAUCAAAAAAGACGGGUGGGUAAUGUCGGAGACAUAACCGAAGAGACGUUGGACUUUUGGUCGGAACCAUUUGAGGAGCACGAAUUGGACCAAUCAAAACGAGGCACAUAUUGCGUUUGGACAAUGCUUGACAUUUAAACAAUAUUCAAUUGUUUAUCUGAAGAAAAAUAUAAUGUUAUUCAUUCUUAUAGAUACGUAGUCCUAUGUGUUUUGGGCCCUUUCAAAUAACUUUUUUUUUUAUUUUCUUUAAACUAAUUUAUUUUACCCAUACAAGUUGUACAGGGUCUGGCCUAUAACUUUUCUCAGAAUUUUCCAACUGUGGAGGCUAUCUGGCGUAGUUGUAACAUCCAUACCUCUCACACAGAGAUCACGAGUUCAAUUCUUACUCCCGACAUCCUUCCAAAGAUGGAAGUAAAAGUGACGAACCAGCCGAAAUGUGUUGAAAGUCACUAUAAUAGAGAAAAAAAAAAUAAUUUGCCAAAAAAGCCAUCUUGUUGGUUUGUGGUUCAUUCUGGCUUAAUGCAAUUUCAAUGUUUAUUUCACAGCCUGCUACACAGAAUUUUAGUUUUGAAGCUGUUGUCAGCUUUCCGAAUGACACGGUAAUUUUAUAGUCGAUAGAUUAUUAUUUUCUGCAUCCAGAGGUGAAUAACCUUACCUCGCCACCAUUCAUGUUGCUGAUCAGAAUACCACAAUAUUCGCUACUGCCCUGUUUGGCUAGUAGAUUGAGACUGAGAGUGACAACCGCUGACCCGUUGCCGAAAGUCAUGCAGGCCGGAGUUCGAAAGUCUCGUGCAUGAACUACGCCAUUGUACGGCGAAGUAAGCUGGAUUCGGAUAUUCAUCGCAUUAGAUUUACAUGUCGCCGUAACAUGUGGAGCAAAUUCUAAGUCUUGACAAAGGACCUGAAAGAAGAAUAAAAAAUUAUAUAUUGAUUAAAAUGGAUCUUUUCAUAUUUUGAAAAAAUUAAUGCAGUAUUCCGCUGUAAUAACGUUUUUAUUUGGUUGUUAAAAAAUCCCUUUGAAUGACAAGAAUGACAAAUUUUGAUUUUAAAAACUAGUAACAUCAACAUGGUAAGUAUUACAAACAUAAACAUAUUAAUGGUGAGUUUAUCAUUCAUUUUAGUUAUUAAUCUCAUUAAUCUAUUCUUUCUUUUCAGGUCCUAUAGAAACCCUAUUGAAUCUAACAAUUGUUCAAAGUAAACACUCAUGUUUAAUCUUCUCCAGUAAUUUUUAUCUAUCUGCUUCGAUCGCUCUGGAUUUUAAUGCUUUGAUUAGGUCGAUAUUUGUAAGAAUCGCAUGAUUUUACAUUAUUUAAUUUAAUAAAAUAAAUUUGAACGCAUUGAAGACGAUCUACUGUUCUUUGGUGCGCAGUAUACUGGAGUAUGCUGCUACUGUCUGGUGCCCAUACUACACAUCGCACAUAAUCAGUAUUGAACGCAUACAGAGGAAGUUCAUACGGUUUGCACUACGUCAACUUCCAUGGAAUGAUCCUAUCGAUCUUCCUCCUUAUUCCGACCGUUGCCAACUGAUCGAUUUGGAGACCCCAUCCAGCAGGAGGGUCAAUAUGCAGCGCUUAUUCGUCUUCGACUUGCUACGAGGCAAUGUUUACUGUUCUGAACUUCUGGAACAAAUCUCGUUCUAUGUUCCACCUCGACGUUUCCGGAGUUUGUUUCUGUUGGCACUUCCCCUUCACAGAACCAACUACGGCUACCUCAAUCCGUUCGACUCGUGUCUUCGCGCGUUAAAUAAAAUCAGUGACGAAUUUGAUCUGAAUAUGUCCAAAAGCACAUUUAAAAUUAAGACAAACAAUAUUGUAUAGGUUAUUAACCAUUAUUCAGUCUGUACGUCUAGGACGAAGACGGUGAUAAAUAAAUAAAAUUUAACUGUGAUAAAUAUUUUCUAAACUUUGAUUUUUACUUUGAAAAUUAUAUCAAUAAGGCGUCGUGCACAAAUUACAUAACGCUAAAAAUCUGGAUUUUGGACCCCCUCCCCCUACGUAAGGCAAUUUCCCAUCUCUAAUACACAGUAAGUAACACAACCUCAAAACCCUAUCAUGAACUUAUGAGGAGAGUUCGUACGAAGCAUAGAUGCAGCUGUCAAGCAGUAUGAGAGCUUUGAAGAGCUUAAACGAGCAGUAUCUUCUGCGUAGACCGAGCUACAACAUAGCGCAGCAUGGCCGAAACUACCCCGAAUGGGUUAAUUGAACUGAUAAAGAAUUAAGGUUACCUACGAAUUAGAAAUUUUUAGUAAUUCAUGUGAAAUUGAUGUUAAUUUUUGAAAGGAGUGUGAGUUUUUCCAUCUGGUUAAAUAGUUAUGAAACGCUGGAAUUUGCCUGGACACAACAAUAAAAUUCAAAUGACCAGUCUUAUAAAUGAAGAUAGUUAUUCUAUCCAACACUAGAUAUUUCAAUUUAACCAACUUCUUACAUAUCUCUGGAAGCUCAAAAAAAUGGAGUGGUUCUAUAGCUGUGAAAAGCAGUGUAUUCAUGUAUCGUGUAAAACCUCUGUGAAACAACUCAGCAUUAGGAAAGAUUGUUGUUUGCUCGCUAGCAGGGUUUAGACUUACAUUUGGAAUCACGAAUGCGUUAUUUAUACUAAAUUAACUCUUUGUGGUCGUUUGUCUGCUCUCAGACACCAUACCUUUUUUACCGUUCUGGUGGUUUGUCUGCUCUCAGCAACCACAGCAACAAACCAUGCUAAUCUUAUAUUUUACUCAACCAAGUAUCAAUUCAUGAUCUUCCUAAACGAAGCUGUGAACCUGUUAACGAAUCAAUACGGUGCUCCUAUGAGUAAUAGAAAACGGUACUCAGUAUCAAACAAAGUAGUUACUCACGCAAGACACCACACAGUGCUUUGAAUAGGAAUUUGGGACAAAAAUCAUAACAGCAGCAUUUAGCCAUUGUAACACUUUGGUGUAAUGGAAAAAAUUGUUCAUAAGUAUCAGAGCUACUGUUUGCAUAAAUGUUUCAUGUUAUUUGAAUUAUGGCAUAAGUGUCUCAAGCGACAAAAUCUUUGUUCACCUCGCACUAAGACGAAUUAUAAAACAGAACUCACAUUUAAACACAUUGUUAAGUUAAUUCAUAUAUAUAGUCCACAAAAAAAUAUUUAUUUUUCAUAAUCUUGCAUGUAUCACUGCUUUACCAAAGAAAAAUUAUUCCGAGCAGUACGACACCCAUGCCCAAAUUUAAUACGACCGCAAAGGGUUAAAAAAGAGGGAGCUUAUAUUGCAAGAUUUUCUCUCCACGAUGCCCAUAGAACGAAUGCUGCAUUUAAUCCGCAGUGGUAUUUGAAUAUAUUGUAUCUCACAUAUGCAUAGGACUACCGUUGUCUUUGUAAUCAUUUGUUUGUAUUGAUUAAGUUAUUGAUUGAUUGAAACAAUUCCCGAAUUAAAGUGAAUUCAACAUAAUAACUAUGUAAGUAGUAAUCCUAUAUUAGGUCAAUUCAUGCAUUAUGAUAGAUCACGUUCUUCGUUGUAAGUGAAUUGAAUGGAAUAAAUCUGAGCGUACGUUAUCCUUUUACGUAUGAGAUUAUACCUUGGUCAUUUCAUUUAUCGUAGGCGUAAUCAUCGAGAAGUUCAGUAAACUGAGGAGAUGAGGGCAUAUUUUUUCAAUUCCGUCUUGAAUAGCCUGGCCAGAGCGUUGUGUUCGUAUAUGCGGAUACAAUACAUGCGGGUACAAAAGUACUCCUCACUUGCAUGAAUCAAUAACUUCAACUUCAACUUUUCAUACUACAGAAGCUUGAAACUUGAAAGUUCACUUGUCUCUAGUAUCCGUAAAGACGAUUUUCCCAGGUUCCAGGAGUUCUGAGUACGUGUUGGUGAAACACAUACCGUUUUGCACAAAUGCAAGCGAGUAAUAAAGUUUAGCGUGUUAGGUAAUACUUGACAUUUUACAAUUAUUCAAUUGUUUAUCUCAAAAAUAGAAGCGUAGGAAUAUAUCAUAUCAUUUUUUUAAUUUUUAUCAGAGAGGCUUUAAAAAAUAAUUUCAUUCGCCUCUAAUCAUAUCAAUUGAUGCAAACAUCUUUGCUCGAGUUAUAAGCAUUCGAAAUCUUCCAUUUUCUCUACGUGUUCAUUGUUAGGAUUUUCAUUUUUCUCUCCCAUAUGUUCUAGUUAGACGUAGUCCUACGUCAAAAAGAUCGUUGUUCCCGAAAGAUUAUCCUCGUUUGGCAGCAAUAUGUAGCUGCGGACUGAAAUGUUACUCUUUAAGAAGAGAUUGCUGCCUUUUCUGGAGUAGCAUGAGGUUGCUGCUUUCGACAACUUCGACGUCACUGCCAAUAACAAUAGCGUCCCGAUGGUCCCCAAGGAAUGGUAUCAGUUGAAGAGAAAAUCAAAAUUCGACUGCUAAAAAAAUCGAAAAACAGCAAUCGUUACAAAUCAAGGAUAAAACCAUGGUUUAAAGCAUAAAACCUAGUAAUGUACAACCGAAGUACUGAAAAACAAACAAAUAAAACGUAUAAUUUAACUUGAACAAGAUUUUCGUAUCCACAUUUUUUCGUCCUCAACUUUUUUACCAAAAGUAAGAUUUAACUUGUAUCAUUAGAGGCGAAUGAACUGGAAAGUUUAUAGCCUUUUAAAAACAAAGAACCGAACAGAACUUGUUUCAGGGAAAUUCAACUGAUACAACUUAGUUCGAUGGUACGAAGUAGUACUAUGGUUAUUACAGGGAACGAAAUGGAAAUAUCAGCUGGAACGGUAAUUAUAUCAAGUUUCACGUACAAUGAAACAUGAUUGUAUGGAGUACAAUAACGAAUCUUGAAAACAAUAUCAAAAAUUUAUCACCAAAUCUAUAUACAGUGACUCAAACUCGAAUUCGUACCCCACCAUGCAGAUCUUUUUUCACUAUUUUUGAAAGUCGAAAACAAGCUUUCGAAACUUUCUUAAGAUGAUGUUACAUACAUCAUUUUAAAACUUAAAAAAAGCCUUCAGCUUUCGGAUUAUUUUUCAAACAUAUUUUUGUCUCGGAUAAAAAUAUCGGGAAGAAAAGUCAACAGCAAAUCCAUUCAACCUUAUCAACCAGCUUUCAUUUGAUCCCUAUAACGUUUCUGUAGGAGCUUUCAACACAGAGAUAUUUGUAUUCGAAUGCCAAGAAGUUUCCCUUCGUGUUUGAUGAUGUGUGUGAGGCAUGCAAUUAAUUGUUAAUAGGAGAAAUGCGUAUGUAUACGUGUGAGUAGCAUCUCUCCUCGCAAUCCUCAUAUGAAAACGAAAGUUAAGAAUCGUUUAUUCUGAGACUAUGCAUAGCAUUUUGAACUUCUGGUACCGUAUUCGUUGAAGGACUCCUUUAAUUUACUCCAAACUUUGAUCGAUCGGCUAAAAACGACUGAACGUAUUAAUAUGAAACGUUCACAGUUGUUUUAGAGAUACACUAGCCUAAAAAUUUCUCUGCUAACAUUGAAUAUUUGCAAAAUUACAGAUAAUUUUCUAAAGGCCCUGUUUUUGACCCUUUUUUACAAUUGAUAUAAGAUUUUUUUUGUCGAAGCAACAAAUUAAAGUUGUGCAGAAUUUAUUUGAGUUUUCAAAACUACUUUUAGGCUUGCGGUGCGUUUGCGAUGUUUAUUAAAUUAUUCACCGUCAAAGAGGGUAACUUUUCAUCCAAACAAAACUAUCUCUGUAUGGCAAGGUUCUACAUUAACGUUAUAGUAAUCAAAUGAAACCUAGUUAAAAAGAUAAUUUGGAUUUGCUAUUAAGUUGGUUAGCAAAAAAUUGGGUUAAUCCACAAAAUCUUUGAAAAAACAGAAAAAAAAUGUUUUUUGUCUUUUCUCGAUAUUUUUAUCCACUUCAUCUACACACAUCAAGAUAAUAUGUUCGUAUAAUAUUUCAAAAGCUGAGGAUUUAAGCUUUAAAAUGAUGUAUAUAUCAUUAUCUACAUAGAAUGUUUCGAAAGAUUGUUCUCGACUUUCGAAAGUAGAGAAAAGAGAUCUGCAUGGUGGGGUACGGCUUCGAGUUUGAGUCACUGUAUAUCAGUUCUAUUUUGUUGUUAUUUAUUAAGUAAAUGAUAUUAUAAAAACUGGACCGCGAUCGUUUUAGAUGCGGCUGGCACACAAUAAGAUAUGCUACGACGAGAAAAGUCAGUCACGCGACCUGGAUAGAAGGAAAAGCAACGAAAGCUCGCUCUCAGCCCACUUCCAUUAUUUCGUCACAGGCUGUUUCCAUCUUUGUCAUAAUCUCACUUGUUCUGGGCAUUAUAGUUUAAUAUUUGGGGAAGCUACGGAACAAGCUGGGUUUAAAUUUCACACCGGCAACACUUCGCCAAUUUCUACCAACAGGUGAAGAAGAAAUUUAAAACAAUUGAAUUUAACGCGUUUGAAAUGAAAGUGGGGUGGGAACAAGAGUCUAUGGAUUAGCAGAGGGUGAACGAUUUGAAGUUAGAGAACUUUUCCAUUUUCUGUGGAUGACUAAAUGUGAUUGAAACUAUUAGUCUCUUAAUUGAAUUGCUUUAUGAGUAAAUUUUCGUACAAUCAUUUUGUUCUGCGAAGGUAAUGAACCGAUCGAGCCUACCUAUAUUGUUAAUCUCUAGGUAAUUGAUGUUUCGCAAAUAAACCAAUGAUUGUCACUUAAAGAUAAGCGCACCUCAAACCUACGACCCUCAGCGGUCCAUAAUUGAAUACUAUAGAUUUAAAUCCUGAUCCCAAAAAUGUAUGACAAUUGAUUGUUCAAAGAACAAAAUUGUUACGCGUAGCUCUAAUUGACAAGAUCAUCUGAAAAUGGUUUUCACUUUCAAUCUGCAAGCUGAAUUCGUUUGACAUAGAUUCACUGUUCACUGCCCGGAUGGUAUUUUCUUUGAAUUGAAAACAAAAAAAAACAAAACAUCAAACACAGGCAGUUGAGCGAUCAAACAACGCAAAAUGAAACGAAUUUAAUUACCAUUAAAAGCGUGAGCAUACGCCACAUGUAGAGCUAUGUAACUCAUCCAUUCAGCGAGAUUCUAAGUUGAGCUCAAACCUUGUAACUGUGGGGGCGAAAAUAUAUCGAAACGAUUCUUUUUCACUAUACUGUUUAUACUUUGUAAUCAUCAGUUAAUUCGUGUUCAGGGAGAAAAUUUUCUUCGCGAUUGUUUGUCACAUUCUGAUUAGCACUUGAGACAGAAAAUAUGCCGAAAAAUGAUGCAAUAACACAUGAUGCAAUGAUGCAAUAACACUAUCCUUUAAGAGUUUGGAAUAUGCUCAGGUGCAUAUAAAUAAAUUACUGAAUUACUGAAUUGUUGAAUAAAUUACCGGAUGCGUUUCGUCUUACUUUACGUCAGAUGGAACUUAAAUCUGUUCUGUAAUGUGCCGUUGACUCAUGUUUGCGUUUGCUUACCAAUCACAAGCGUACCGUUCUCUCUGCAUUUAAGCUAAUUAACAUUAGCUUAAUCAUUAUCGACUACAAACAAAAACCUUCUUUUCUGCCAACUAUCGACAUGCAUUAUCGCUAAAUUUGAGAGACCAUCAUGGGCAGGUACCGAAUUAUUUGAAAACCUGAUACGUAGGUCCACGUUGUGACAGUUCUUAGUGUGAUUAUUUGUUUACUGAGAAAUGCUAAGCUAUAAGUUUGAACCACUAAUCAUGAAUCAGACUGAAGAACAGGAAAUGUUACUCAGAAUAACAAUGCGGGCUGAAUGCCUCACUUGCAUUCUUAUUAGAUGAUGUAGCGUUUUAUUUACCUGCCCCAAUGGAAUUCAAAGUGAGAAACAACUAAAGUGUGUGUGUGUGUGUGUGUGUGUCUCGAAUGAAUUGAUGAAUUGAUGCUCAAUGAGCACAUAUUUCAAUUUUUCUAAGAUUGUUUAAGGAAUAACUGGUGCUCGAAUAAAUACAUUAUAAGAGUCAUACUAUUAUGUUCCCUUGGCCAAAGGUUUAACGUCUUCUUCUUCUUCUUCUUCUUCAAUGGCACUAACGUUCCUAGAGAAACUUCGCCGGCUCAACGUAGUAUUACUUGCGUCAUUUUUAUUAGUACUUAGUUGAGAUUUCUAUGCCAAAUAACACGCCUUGAAUGCAUUCUGAGUGGCAAGCUCUAGAAUACGCGUGAUCACAGUGCAAGUCGGAGGAAAUUUCUUUGACGAAAAAUUCUCCCGACCAGAACGGGAAUCGAACCCGAACACCCGGCAUGUUAGUUAUGACGCUAACCACUCGGCCACGGGAGCACUGUAAACGUCACACCUAUCAUUAGGGGAAGUGAGGGCAUAAUGGUCACCCUAAGAAAUAUGCCCAUUUCCCGCGUCCACAUACCGGUCACUCGCACAUAUCAAGCUAAAUGGGAUAAAUUUAUGCGUUUUUUUCGUCAAAAUUUGUUCAAAUCAUAUUUGAUAUAGUAUGUACAUGUAUGAAAUAAGCUUGGCCUAUUCAACUAGAGUCUUAAUUUAAAUUUUCUCAUGCAUACAAAAACGUAGUAAAGAACACAUAACGUUUUCGUAAUGAGGCUUCGUUUAGUUGGAGUGGAAUAUUUAUCCAGGAUCAAAGUCACAAAAGAAUCUUCUUCAAGAGCAGAAUGUGUUGCGGUAUAUCAGCUUUAGUAAACAGAACAUUGUAAGUCAUUAUUCACCUAUGACACAUUUACCCCCAAACAUCAGAGCAAUUUCUAUGCUAUUUAAUCGCUGAGAUUCAACAAAAUAUCUGUUCACCUCUUCUAGAAUAUGUGAACAGUCGUCCAAACUGAUGAUUUGUCCAAUAUAUCAGAUUGAAUAAACUGAAUUUCACGAGAAAUUCCUUAGAUACCAUGCGCACAGAUUCUCGGUUGCGUUACUUUCUGUAUAUUAGAGACAGGAAAUUGCGUUAUGUAGGGGGGGGAGGUGGUCCAAAAUCCGGAUUUUUAGCGUUGCGUAAUUUGUGCACGAUGCCUUACUCCCCAGACCACACCCCUAGCGACUAUCACGCUACGCACUUCGCGCUCGGAAUAGAAAAACUCGUGCCACGCUUUGAAAAAUGCCUCGAACGUUACGGUGCUUAUGUAGAAAAAUAGAAAAUAAAACGUAGAUUACGAAAAUCACCUUGUUUUUUGUCCUAACUUUAUUUUUCCGCGAUUUCUGAGGCACUGAAACUUAUUUUUUGAACGACCCUCGUAUCUUUGGAAACUCAUGUUUCCCAAAACUUUGAUGCAGUUUCUUUCAAUUCAAUCUACCGUUUUUCUAUCUAAUUAGCCAAAUAUUUUACAAAAAAAAUGUUGUUCAAUGUUUUUUACUAAAAUUAAAACAGACCGAAAAGCACAACAUUUUUUUCGAUUCGGGUAUAAUGGACAUGUAGUGGGGGUAAUAUGGACAGGUUUGUAAUAUAUGAAGCGUAGAGGUUUAUCGAUCACGUGAGGAAUAAUUUUAUUCAACCAAGGUCUACACUCAUCACGAAUGUCCGUUAAAUAAUGAAAAAAUCGAAUGAUUCCACCUAUCGUGCUUUUCAGCAGACCCUCAAUUAUUUUGCUUUUGGUUCCAGUCAGCUUCAAUUUGAUUUCCUUCAAUUUUUCCGUCUACGCAGAGCAUUCCUUAGGAAUAGAUUAAACAGACUUUUCAUAGUUCAUUCCACACUCACUGGCAACUAUCCGUUUUACCCCACCAGUAUAAUUAUUUUAAUAAUUUAAAUUUUUCCACUCAAAAAUGAAUUUACUUUUCCGUACAUACCUAAUAUCGCUUCUCUAAUAACUCACAAACCGAAAUAUAACCAUUAGCGAAUUGAAUUUUGAUAUUAAACCACUCAAAAUGCUUAAUAUCGAAGCUGCUAAAAUUACAUCCUCACGCGGAAUCAUGUAUGAUUUUUUUUUUGUUUUCCUUUUCCACUUUUGAUCAGUAUUCAUUGCCAUAGGGUGGCUUAAAUAUUAUAGAAUAACAUGUAGAAGGUGUUCUCAUUAACAGAAAUCGGAAAUUCAAAAAGUAACUAUACAAAUCAACCACCUGUCCGUAUUACCCGCGUUUCCCUGGGCAAAACGUUUUCCCAUACACCUACUCAGUGGGACUAGACGAAACACAUCCUACGAAAGGAUAGAUUCUGCGGAACGUUAUGAACCGUUUCGACCCCCACGAGUUACGAGUAACAGAUUUGACGAGUGAAAAUAGGUUGGGAUGAAACGAUACCGAAAAUGCUUUGUGAGUUUGUGUAUUUCAGUAUUCCGGUUCGGUUCCAACGAUCACAACUAUCGCCAGUUAGUUGCAUCUAGUAUUGAUGAAAUCAGGGCCCGAAAUCUUCGAAGGUGAAAAAUGAGGACCGACUCUUCUCUCAGUAGCUUCGCUUCGACUAGAACUGCUUCGGCAGUCGCCGGCAACAAAAAGUGACUUGACUAGAAAAUGAACUCAUUAGCGUCGACUGCGAAGAUGACUGGUGAACUAGUCCAGUCUGUGGUUAUUUUAACUGACUCGACUAAUGAAUACAAAUCUGCCUCUUCAUUCAACUGACUUCAAUCCACACUUCCAUUUCCCCCUGACACCUAAUUCAUACCCGCGUACGCAAUAUUAUUUUUACGUUCAUAUAAAGAGGAACGAAAACAUGAUUUCUAAUUCAAAAAAGAAAUUACCCCAUCAAUGGACGGUUUAUUGUCUACCCAUCGUGCAAACCAACGAACUUAGACGUUCAUCAAGUAUGCUAUAAAGGUCCUCGUGUUAGUAUUAGUAAAUAGUGUGCAAAAUAGCGCACACACACUGAACGCUAUUUCAUACGUGUGAGUAAUUUUCGUGUACGACACAGAAUAAUCUAGCUCACCUGUAACGUAUGUCAAACCACGUUGAGCUCAAACAUCGAUACAUGCACACGUACAUGGGAAAGAGAAAGAGAGGAAUGAAUUCGUUUUGGGGGAAGUCACUUCAAAAUGCAAUGAGGACAAUUUGACUAGGAAGAAUGAAAUGAUAUAGUCGAGUCGGUAGAGGGAGAUAGCGACUAAACGCCCGGCUGUUUAGUCGUUUAGGCGGGUAUAAUCAGUCAGGUAGUCAGCCGACUAUCCUCAGUUGACUAUGACUAUACAGAGCCCUGGAUGAAAUAUUAUCGGAAUCGAAGGUGGAAAAAGAACGUUGGAUUCCAUCUAGAAAAAACGUAGCAGACGAAGCAUCGAAGUGGGGAUGACGAGUGGUCGUUGAAUGGCCGUUAGUAUAACGGGCUAGAAUAUCUCCAGUUGCCGGAGGAACAAUGGGGCGACUUCCAUUGACUAUGCGUCUUCGAAUUUCACGGUUGUUGUUGUUGUCAGUUGUUAUCAACGAGCAAAGUUAGACAAAUCCCUCUACCACCUCAAACUCGUCGACGUUCAUCAGAACAACACUACACCCAAAUAGCGUUGGCAGAAAACAUUUCAUCAUUGGCAGAAAUAAUGCUUUUUCAUGUGCCGGAUGCGCAAAUAAUGAGAUGUUUUAAAAGUUUAAAAGUGUUUGUAUGUGUGGGAGCAGACAUCUCUUUCUUUUUUCAUCUCUUUUUGAUUGUACACAAAAAAAUAGUCCAAACGAUAUCAACGGGGAUCGAACCAAGGCCGACUGGAAUGCAAGACUGUUUUACAUAAGCACGCUAUCCACAUAGCUACUGGUGCUUUUGCUUAUAUGUGUAAUAAUAUUACAACUCAUUAUAAAAUGAAGUUGGAAAGUGUUUUCUAAGAGGAAAAAAUAGCAUAAACAAGAAUCUAUAUUUUUGACGUAGGAUUACGUCUUUCGGGAAGUUAUUGGGGUACAAAUUGAAAAACGAAUAUCGAUCGCAUCGUGAAAAAUGUCCAAUUUCAAACGCUUAUUGCUCAGUCAUUUCAUGACGGAUUGAUGAGAUUUUUACAUCAAAACAUUGCGGCACUCUAUAACAAUGUUUCACCUUGAAUAAAAUAAUAUAUAUCAUGUAAUUAACUAUCGAACAAUUGAAAAAUCUCAACCCCUAUCCAAACGGUACUGAUUGGUCGAAAUUGACGUCAUUUCUUUUUCGCCUGCUUCGCUUCUUUCGUUACCUGAUAAGUCAAAUAUUUGCAUGUCGAGCGAGUGGGGGCGCCUAUUUCUCACAUACCAACUGAUAUAAAAGGACGGUAGCAUUUUUCGAUUUCUCUCUCUCUCCACGGAAUAAUACAAAAUCUGUAUGAUUAUGCUACCUGAUAGUCGUUACCUUUCAAGGUCUAUCUACCCUUUGGGUUUGGGUAGAUAUAUUUAUUUCCAGUUAGAUAAGUAGUGUAAGUUGGGAUAAUGUAAAUAUUUUGGGGAGGGUAUCUUAUAAGUUAGAUAUAGGUAAAAAAAAAGGUAACAAAAAACUAGAAAAGUUUAGGCAUGAUUUUACAAUAGGAAUAUGAAACAAUCGAAUAAUGUGUAUGAUACAAAUCAUUACAAAACUUGACAUUACAACAUAAAGAUGUAGAACCCUAGGUUGAUCACUUGAAAUGUAGUAUUAUAUUAUAAUGUAAACCAAAUUAAGAAAUAAAAAGAAUUUAAGUGAAAAUAAAAAAAAAGUUCGAUUUCUCCAUUCUUUGUGUGGACACCGACUGGACAAUAUCGUUGCUGGACGAGCUGGACGGCGAGGGAUCGAGUGCCUUUCUCAAGGCAAGAGGGUGGAGGUGGUGGCGCUGGAGUAGAGUAGAGUAGAGUUUUCAAAGGGCGUUUCUCAAGGCUAGAGACGAAUGAACUGUAAAAGUUUAAAGUCUCUAUAAUACAAGACCUUCCUUCCUUCGAUUUCUCAUUCUCGUUCAACGCUCAGAUCGGCAAACAUAUGGGUUUCUAGUGUGCAGUGCUCUACAAAUCAACCAACACCAUACGGUGCGGCAAAGGAGAGGAAGCCAUCGACAACCAACGAUGGAUGCGGUGCGGCAAAGGAAGCAAAGAAGGAGAAGCAGCGGAGAGCAUCGAAUUAAAUCUAGUGUCCAUUGCUGGUGCGCUCCUCUUCACAUCAACAAUUGGAUGCGGCAAAGGAGGUAGAGAAGCGAAGUGCAUUGCAUCGCAUCGUAUCACACCCGCUAUCCGUCGUUUAGCUCGUCGUGGUGGUGCCAAUCAAACCCUCGCAAAUCGACGCACAGAAGCCGAUGGCGCCAAAGUCAAGGAAAGCAUCAGCGAAUCCGUAAAAGCUACCGCUCCCAAAACUGAACUUCUACAUCCGACUGAAACGCAGCAGAUUCCGUACAACCCAUUAAACCAUUCCAGUCCUUCUCAGGACUAUCAAUUUGUUUUGAAACAAAAGAGUUUAUUUUACUGUUUUCCACUUACCAAAAAAACUAUAUAAAACUAUGAUCAAAAAUACUGUUUAUUUUUACAUUUUCUACUAACAACUAACAGGGAACCAUCAUAUCACGUCUAGAAAUGCCUAAGGGGGUAUAUUGCAAUAAAUGUUCGUAGGGGUAUAUUGCAAUAACCGAUUCAUUCGAGGAAAUGUCUUUAAGUAUUCGAUUAAUCGAGCGAAUAUUCGUUGACAAGACAUCGAUAAAAGUUACGUCAAAUAUUAUUUUAAAUAAACAUCGAAGUGCUAAAUAAUAUUGACGUGGGAUUACGUCUUUCGGGAACAUAUUGGGGUACAAAUUGAAAAUCGAAAAUCGAGCUCAUCUUGAAAAUUGUCCAAUGUCAAACGCUUAUUGCUCAGUCAUUUCAUGAUGGAUUGAUGACAUUUUUGCGUCAAUAGAUUUCAAUACUCCAUAACAAUUUUUUAUAUUGAACAAAAUAUCAAACUAACUAUCGAACAAUGAAAAAUCUCAGCCCCUAUCCUAACGGAAAUACCCACUUCUGAUUCUGAAUUGACGACACAUGCGGCGGGUCCCCAACAGAGACAUCAAAACCAAGCUGUCUGGGGGAAAUCGGCAUUGCAAAUACAUGCACGUAGGGGGAUCUUUUGUUCUUACCGAAAUGUGUUCCCUAACAGAGACAUCAAAACCAAACUGUCUGGGGGAAAUCGGUACAGAAAAUUCAUAAAAGUAGGGGGAGCUUUUGUUCCUACCGAAAAAUAACAGAGAUAUCAAAACCAAGGUGCAGCGCCCCUUUAAAUUAAUUCUCAUCUCAUCAGACAUUUUUCUAACCAGACAAUAUGAGAAUCCAAUAAAGGAUUCUACAAUAAGAAUAAGCAACAUAAGAAUGCCGGAAUUUUCCAUACAGAUGGAAAAUUCCAUGAAUACGAUAGGCAGCAGUAAAUAAAUAAAUAGAACGGAGGUAGCAGAAUAGGAAAACUCUACCUAGAGUUUGUCGGUAGAAAUUAAGACAUUAAUGUUAUCGUGAAGAGAAGUAAAAUAAAGAAAAGGGAGUCGAUCGUGAGCCACGCAGGAGAACGGUGGUGUCUCCUGAAAACCAAGAAGUUGUGUUUUUUGUAUUUUAGAACAUAAGAAUGCCGUGAGGCCGCUCGGGGCGCUGUGCAUUUGGUGACAGCGGUGGGAUGCUGUCCAUUAUUUGAAAGCUAUCGCGAGUGCUUACGCGACUUCAACUCAAAAUGAAGUGACAAAAGUGAUUGCUCCAGCAGAGAGUAAUUUUCGUGUGUAAUCCAAAAGACGUUUGGCGCAGUUCCCAAAAAAAUUCAAAGGAGUUUCCAAAUAGUGUAUAAAGUGUUGACAAACAGCAGGUCUUGAGUACCGCAGACGCGUAUGAUCGAAUGCGUGGAUGAGGCGCUCGAAUAAGAUCAAACAAAUGUGUCAUUUAGAAGAUGCGCUUACACAGUAGAAUGCGUGAACAGCUCAAGUGCAGUAGUUGGGAAUAGAAGCAGUUUAAUGAAAGUUGUAUUAAAAAUGAACGUGAACGAGAGACCACGGUCGGUGGCGGCGACCGCAGGCCGGCGGGAUUUGGUGUGCAGUCAUAAUGCCGUGAUGUUAGGAGUGGACGAGCUGCCGGCAAUAUUUUGGAUGAAGGAAGACAUUAUUAAAUAUAAGGUAAACCUAGUUAAGCUAGUUAAAUAAUGUUAUACAAAAUAUUUGUAAAAGUAUAGUAUUUAAAAAAAUGAAAUCGCUGAUGCAUUUGAAACGAUGCAAUCAGCAGUUUUACGAGCGAGAAAAAAAAUAGUUUAGGUUAUUAGUGUAGGUUAUUCAAUAACAAAAAAAUACAAGAGGCAAACUUGAUGGAAUUAUUUACGUUGGACAAUAAAAUUAUUUUCUCUCCAAUUCUGUAAAAACUGCUUAUUUAGUUUGAAAAACACCAUUCAUGCCUCCCAUACUUCAAUAGUAUGUACAGGGUAAUAUGGGGAAAGUACAUAUCGAAUUAAAAAAAUGCGUGAUUCUUUCUUACACACACGCUUUGAAGUGGGAUUUUUAGAAAAAAUGAAGAUAUUGAGUCGUAUAUGUCUAAAGCCAAAUAAUAACGAGAAUGAGUCCAUCAAUCGCUAAAAUAGCUUUUGAAUGUACCGAAGGGCUGGAAGGCCAGGAAUUCAUUCCUGUAAGGACAUGUAUAAAUCGAUAUUUACAUAAAAGUUCACGAGAAACUAGAAAUGUGGGAUAUAACGAUGAUAUUGACGAAUGAUAAAAAAAAAACGAAGUAGCACUAUAAAAGCGAAGAAGCUAUAUAUUCAAGAAAAUUAAUAUAAUAUAUGAAAUAAGAAAGGGAUUUUAAUAAACAUAUUGUACGAAGAGGCUGUAAAAGCUCUACUAUGUUAAUCGAUAAGACUUUUGGGGACAUUUCAAGGAGAUAUGAUCGUUCUUAUUUUUUCAUUUUUAAAUUGGCGGAAAUUACAGAAUUGAAGGAAUAAUUAUUCAAAUAGCAUUCCGAAAUUAAGAACAGUAACUGAACAUUCGUCUGUUUAGGGAAAUCGGAACAGAUUGAAUAGAUCAUAAUGAAUCGUUUAUCAACACACCACACAUCACAAUAUAUCAGCAUAUUGUGGAUGCUGUCAGAGUUGAAGGAAUUUUUAUUAAAAUUACAUCCGGAAUAUAAGAAUAUAAACUGAAGAAAAUAUUGUUAACGAUUUUUCGACAUGUCGAGCUCAAAUCACAUUGAGUAGUGUUCUGCACUAUUUUACUAUUUUUUUUUAUCAGGCGGCAACAUCACUUUUCAUACUGUUUCAUUGUUUUGUGAAACUCCCAACAAUUGACAUACAAAAAAAAAAUCGGAUUAGUAUAAUUUUAUCAAUUCACAUACAUUAGUAUAUUAGGGAGUUAGGAUAUAUACAUAUAUUAAAGUGAACUAUCAUUUUUGAAGAAAACUCACAUAUACAUUUACAAAACAAUUAUAAAGUAAUAACAUAUAAAAAAAACAAAAAAAAAUCAAGAGAAACAUAGUUAUAUAGAUAGAUAUUAUGACAAACAAAAAUAUAUUUUUACAACUAUACACAAUUAUAAAAAAACAGGAAGUGGGUUAUAUCUAUGGUAUAACCGCAAGGGUGACGUAGGACUAUCGUUGAUUUAGAGAUCAUUUGUAUGAAGUUGAAUCUGAAUUCAUUCUGAAUGAAUGAAUAUUUGGAGAACUUCGAAAACGAGAGCGUUACGUUGGAGGCACAAGGUUUUAUGCAUCCAAUAUUGGAUACGGAAAUAUCCUACUGAUGGGGAAGAAUAAUCUUCAGAAGCUAUCCUGUUGAUUGCGAUCGAUUGAAAAAUCACAAAACCUAAUUUUUUUUUUCCCAAAAUAUAUUUUUUAUUAAGGCACAUGUGGCGUUAGCCUGACGGGGCCGGGAGUCCAAUAUUUUGACAAUUUUUGUCUUAUAACUAUGUUAGUAAUAUGUAACCGAUUACUCGCGGUUGGCUCGAGGUUAGUAUUACAAGUGUUCUCAUAAUUGGUAUGUUGCAGUCUUCGAUGCUCUGUACGUGUGCCCGACACGGGCUACUUCCUAUUGGGAUGGAGCUGACCAUUAAUCAGCAACGCUCCCUAGUCUGUACCCCAUAUCUAGCGUGGUGCGUCUUUCUCGACUCGAGGAAUCCAGGAUAGAAUGGUCACUAGCCGGCGCAAUCAUCAGCUCGUGUAGAGUUGUCAUGAGCGGUACAACCUUUGGCUCUUGUUGAAUGAUCAGUGGACUGCACAACCUUCGGCCCGUGCAUCUGUAAAGAGUGUGUGUGUAUGUAUUGCCGCGACUAAGUAAAAGUUUAUCGAUCGGAUAGGAGGGAUAUGAAACGGGGACACAACGAAGGAAACAUCAUUAAACGUUGACAUCGGCGUUUCUGAGGAACAGGUAUAGAUGAAGCAGAAGAUCAGGAUCCCGGCUACCUAAGAUAUCCCGGACGGGGAUAUCCGAUUGUCUGCCUUUUGCUCUCAGUGCUCUGGAGAGCUGAGAGCGAGCAGCAUGGAACCGGAUACACGACCAGACAACAUGCUCGAUGUCGUGGUAGCCAUCGCCACAAUCACAAAGAUUGUUUGCUGCGAGCCCAAUGCGAUAGAGAUGCGCGUUUAGGUUGUAGUGAUUGGACAUAAGCCGAGAUAUCACGCGAAUGAAAUCACGACCUACAUUCAAUCCCUUGAACCAUGCACUCAUCGAGACCUUAGGGAUAAUCGUGUGUAACCAACGACCGAACUCAUCUCCACUCCACAUGCGCUGCCAACUAACGAGUGUGUAUGGUCACAGUGUUACAUGGAUAGAAAACAUUCAAUUAUACUCAUUCACAUGAAUAUAUUUUGAAAAUUCCCAGAGGAACUGGCAGAUUAUUUUCAGUAACGAUUAGUUAGUUUCAGUAACGAUUAGAUAUAUCCACAUUUUCCUCGAUACUGGAAUGCCAACUCGAUAACCACCUGUUAAUAGCACUUGAUUGAAACAUAUUUGGUCACAGUGUUACAUGAAUAGAAAACAUUCAAUUAAACUCUUUCACAUGAAUAUAUUUUGAAAAUUCCCAGAGGAACUGGCAGAUUAUUUUCAGUAACGAUUAGAUAUUUCCACAUU
RNA transcript from Toxorhynchites rutilus septentrionalis, 28643 nucleotides. RefSeq lists it as uncharacterized. NCBI's taxonomy places the organism in Eukaryota, Metazoa, Arthropoda, Insecta, Diptera, Culicidae. The transcript is spliced from 5 exons. The record is from RefSeq and is a predicted model, not a curated record.